This 75-nucleotide antisense RNA is filed under the name Paractinoplanes brasiliensis. RNAcentral describes it as "Actinoplanes brasiliensis ASpks TB sRNA". It matches the Rfam family "ASpks TB sRNA". Lineage: Bacteria; Bacillati; Actinomycetota; Actinomycetes; Micromonosporales; Micromonosporaceae. The record is from RNAcentral.
CUUGAUGGAGCCGAGCCACAGCGGCUUGUCCGCCGGGCGAUCCUGGCCGUACGUCGCCAACAGGGCCUGCGCCUC